This 468-nucleotide ribosomal RNA is filed under the name uncultured bacterium. RNAcentral describes it as "partial 16S ribosomal RNA". It matches the Rfam family "Bacterial small subunit ribosomal RNA", at positions 28 to 507 of the family's 1533-position model. The record is from RNAcentral.
GAUGAACGCUGGCGGCGUGCUUAACACAUGCAAGUCGAACGGAAAGGCCCUGCUUUUGUGGGGUGCUCGUGUGGCGAACGCGUGAGUAACACGCGAGUAUCCUGCCCUUGUCUUUGGGAUAACUUCAGGAAACUGGGGCUAAUAUCGGAUAGGAGCUCCUGCUGCAUGGUGGGCGUUGGUAAGUUUCGGCGGUUGGGGAUGGACUCGCGGCUUAUCCGCUUGUUGGUGGGGUAGUGGCUGACCAAGGCUUUGACGGGUAGCCGGCCUGAGAGGGGGACCGGCCACAAUAGGACUGAGGUAGGGCGCAGACGCGAACGGGCGGCAACAGUGGGGAAUAUUACAGAGUGAGGGGGAGCCAGAUACAACAGCGCCCGGAGCGGAAUGAUGGCCUACGGGUUAAGAACCGCUUUCGCCGGUGACAAAGCGUGAGUGACGGUAAUGAGUAAGGAAGCACCGGCUAACUACGUG